ACCGUCACUUGACCCAAUGCAUUGCUCAAUAUUUUAGUCAGUUUGUAAGAGACAUUUGGGUCUUACAUUUUUUUAUAUUGCUUUUUUCCCUGCAGCUUAUCUGAAGAACCUGAGACAUUUUUUACCCUCAGCCUUCCUCCAGAAGGUCCAGAUCUCGAUGCAUUUUACCCCGAUCUCCACCUGCAGAAACCAACUCCAUCAUCUGUUAAUGUCCGCCAAGUGUCUGAGUACUGUCUACCAGAUGUACAGAACAAGGUCCAGCCGAGAGAAAUUGGUGCACGGGAGUGGGAUGGAUGCCAAGAUGAUCAUUACCUCCAAAAUGUACCUCCAAAGAACCAACAUAAAGUGUGCUUGCCAAGAUUGGACCACGUUAAAGUGGUCUCUACUGGGGGUGGAAAUGGGAAAGCCUGGUAUGAGGGGCCGGGUUCUGCACUUCUCAAACCAUGGAAGCAGCUCUCGCUUCCCCAAGGCAAGACAGGACCAGAGACAGGCUUUGACCGGCGACAGCUGUAUGAGCCACUGAACGUGAAUAGGAACUGUGGGGCGGGUCUGAUGGUCGAUUUUGUGGCAGCUAUGGAUGUAGACAGAGGAGAAGAAGAGCCAGAAAAUCAGUCUCAAGUGCUGAGUGAAGUAAACCACAUUAGAAGCAAGUGCUCAAAUGGUGGAAGGGAGCAAGAGGCAUUCAGAGAAAACCAUGGAUUGUCAAGAAUGAAAGGAAAACAGUUCCCCAUCGCCAUCACAGAUGAAAUGGACACUGCGUCGGACUUUGAUGUGGACGGUAGAGCCCUCCGGCAAACCGAACACCAAGAUGUCGGAGAAGGGUUUCCACAUGAACCCGGUGCCAGGGACGAAGAGAUAACAACAGGGGGGUCCAGUCGUAGCAUCACCCCAGAACUGACCCCAGUGUUACUUGAAGAAAGCGUCAACACAAUGGUAACCCAGGGAGCUCAAACUACCCAAAAGACAUCAGAGCUCGAGACCGCUGGAGAUAAGGAGGAGGGCCCACAAAGACCAGAGGAACAGAGGGAGUCCUCCAACAGAGAACUCAGUCCGGGUGGAGCCCCCCUACCCGAUGGACCAGACACGGCCGUCAGGGAUGAGGAAGAUGCGGCGACUGCUGCGGUAGUCCUGGAGACGGACGCGGGGACGGUGCAGGGCGGCACGACCCAAGCUGAGGAACAGAUGGGGGGGGACCAGGGUGGGAGGACCCACCCUGUCCAGGUGGAGGAGGAGGAGGAGGAGGUGGAGGAGGAGGAGGAAGAGGCCGGUCCAUCUGAAAGGGGAAUGGUCCUUCAGGAGAUGUUGGAGGAUGAAAAUGAGCCCUUGUUGAAAACCUCAAAUGAGGUCAAUGGAAGCCCCGCAUUGGAGGGCUCACCAGUUGAGAGACAACGCCCCCCGCUGAGGUUGUCUCAGGAAGGAGGGGCCACAGGGUCUGGCUUCAGGGUACCCCCUCUUCUCCAUGGGAACGCCCCCCUAGAGGCCACCCUCCAUACCUGUGACACCCUUCAAGUGAGUCCCGAUCCGUCAACCAUCCUACACUCAUUGUUGAAAGUGAACCUAACCUCAACUAACCUGUCAGCCCGGUUGAGAAUCAAGUCUAAUACACAUUUUAUUGAGCCUGUUUUAUUCAUUAGUACUCUUCUUUUUACUUCCAUGGCAUAUCAAUUCCAUGUUUUGCUUCAGUUUCAGUUUGUCUUCCACCUCAAGCUGUAUCUUGAGGUUAUCAAGGUCAGCAUAUAG
Gadus morhua (Atlantic cod) is the source of this 1740-nucleotide long non-coding RNA. The record is from Ensembl. NCBI's taxonomy places the organism in Eukaryota, Metazoa, Chordata, Actinopteri, Gadiformes, Gadidae.